RNAcentral lists this transfer RNA (77 nucleotides) under Acidobacteriota bacterium. Its description in RNAcentral is "Acidobacteria bacterium (anaerobic digester metagenome) tRNA-Arg". It matches the Rfam family "tRNA". Rfam says of the family: Transfer RNA (tRNA) molecules are approximately 80 nucleotides in length. Lineage: Bacteria; Pseudomonadati; Acidobacteriota. The record is from RNAcentral.
GCGCCUGUAGCUCAGCUGGAUAGAGCGUCGGCCUCCGGAGCCGAAGGUCACAGGUUCGAACCCUGUCAGGCGUACCA